Dermacentor andersoni is the source of this 890-nucleotide long non-coding RNA. RefSeq lists it as uncharacterized. NCBI's taxonomy places the organism in Eukaryota, Metazoa, Arthropoda, Arachnida, Ixodida, Ixodidae. The record is from RefSeq and is a predicted model, not a curated record.
UAUCGGGUCUGACUGGGGUACGUGGAGAUUCAAUCAUUCAAACAUUCUAAUUUAACGGUAAAUAAACCCAAAGUCGCGGGACACAAAGCAAGUUACCUGCUAUGGAAUGAACACAGAACAAUCAGCACUAGAACGAGCCGACAGAGACGUUUUGUGACGAUACGAAGGUGUGCGCACGUUCGGUGUUCACAGCGUCUGCUACUUCAGCUACGAUGGAUACGCAGCGAAUCAUGGGUACCGACCUGGAAAAUUUUCCCAGCCCGCUGCAGCGGCGGAGGUGGCGAUCUUCGGGGAAGCGACCUUGGAACCCUUUUCGGCCCGCUGCGACGAGUCCCUUUGUAAAGCCGACAAUGCGCCUUCUCGUACAGCCCAGCGGCGCCGGCGGGGCUAGCCGUUGGGCGGACCAAGUAUUGUUGGUUGAUGCGCUGUCGCGUUCUCGGUUUGCUUGGAGCGGGGGAACUCCCGGCAGGGGAUGUUUUCCGGUGCUUUCCCACGGGCCCAAGAAGUCGCAGUCAAUAGACAGACGCGGCGGCCACUGACUGCAGGGUCAGCUUUGGGAUCAAGAGGCGCCUGCUCCGGUCAAGACCUCUGUCUAUAGGAACCCUCUCACCUCGAUGCGCUCAGUGAAACCAAAGUGCGGAAGUGAGUUUGUGAACGUUCCCCCUCAAAGGCCGGUUGACUCCGAUGACUUUGGAUGCUCCCAUUGGUCGAAGGUUAACAACUGAACGGCCGUUUUCCCUCACCUAGGGAUCUAGGGAAGACAGAGCAUUUUUAAGCAGCUGAUUAGCGGCUGUUCAGUGUACAUUCCAUUUCAGUCCUGUUAGACUGAUGAACUGUGAUGUUCACCACUCUUCAUGUAGAUAUUGUAAAUAAAUCGCAUAUUCCUCGUU